This 994-nucleotide ribosomal RNA is filed under the name uncultured bacterium. RNAcentral's name for it is "bacterial SSU rRNA". It matches the Rfam family "Bacterial small subunit ribosomal RNA", at positions 355 to 1375 of the family's 1533-position model. The record is from RNAcentral.
UGGGGAAUAUUGCACAAUGGGGGAAACCCUGAUGCAGCGACGCCGCGUGGAGGAAGAAGGUCUUCGGAUUGUAAACUUCUGUUGUUGAGGAAGAUAAUGACGGUACUCAACAAGGAAGUGACGGCUAACUACGUGCCAGCAGCCGCGGUAAAACGUAGGUCACAAGCGUUGUCCGGAAUUACUGGGUGUAAAGGGAGCGCAGGCGGGAGAACAAGUUGGAAGUGAAAUCCAUGGGCUCAACCCAUGAACUGCUUUCAAAACUGUUUUUCUUGAGUAGUGCAGAGGUAGGCGGAAUUCCCGGUGUAGCGGUGGAAUGCGUAGAUAUCGGGAGGAACACCAGUGGCGAAGGCGGCCUACUGGGCACCAACUGACGCUGAGGCUCGAAAGCGUGGGUAGCAAACAGGAUUAGAUACCCUGGUAGUCCACGCUGUAAACGAUGAUUACUAGGUGUGGGGGGUCUGACCCCUUCCGUGCCGGAGUUAACACAAUAAGUAUUCCACCUGGGGAGUACGACCGCAAGGUUGAAACUCAAAGGAAUUGACGGGGGCCCGCACAAGCAGUGGAGUAUGUGGUUUAAUUCGACGCAACGCGAAGAACCUUACCAAGUCUUGACAUCCUGCGACGGACAUAGAAAUAUGUUUUUCCUUCGGGACGCAGAGACAGGUGGUGCAUGGUUGUCGUCAGCUCGUGUCGUGAGAUGUUGGGUUAAGUCCCGCAACGAGCGCAACCCUUAUGGUCAGUUACUACGCAAGAGGACUCUGGCCAGACUGCCGUUGACAAAACGGAGGAAGGUGGGGAUGACGUCAAAUCAUCAUGCCCCUUAUGACUUGGGCUACACACGUGCUACAAUGGCGUAAACAAAGUGAAGCGAGAGUGUGAGCUUAAGCAAAUCACAAAAAUAACGUCUCAGUUCGGAUUGUAGUCUGCAACUCGACUACAUGAAGCUGGAAUCGCUAGUAAUCGCAGAUCAGAAUGCUGCGGUGAAUACGUUCCC